Molecule: ribosomal RNA, 606 nt
Filed under: Cyanoboletus sp.
Lineage: Eukaryota; Fungi; Basidiomycota; Agaricomycetes; Boletales; Boletaceae
Description: LSU rRNA
Rfam family: Eukaryotic large subunit ribosomal RNA
Source: RNAcentral
GAGGAAAAGAAACUAACAAGGAUUCCCCUAGUAACUGCGAGUGAAGCGGGAUGAGCUCAAAUUUUGAAUCUGGCGGUCUUUGGCCGUCCGAGUUGUAAUCUAGAGAAGCGUCUUCCGCGCUGGACCGUGUACAAGUCUCCUGGAAGGGAGCGUCAUAGAGGGUGAGAAUCCCGUCUUUGACACGGACUACCAAGUGCUAUGUGAUGCGCUCUCGACGAGUCGAGUUGUUUGGGAAUGCAGCUCAAAUCGGGUGGUAAAUUCCAUCUAAAGCUAAAUACAGGCGAGAGACCGAUAGCGAACAAGUACCGUGAGGGAAAGAUGAAAAGAACUUUGGAAAGAGAGUUAAACAGUACGUGAAAUUGCUGAAAGGGAAACGCUUGAUGUCAGUCGCGUCGUCCGGGGAUCAACCUUGCUUCGCCGCUGGGUGUACUUCCCGGUAGACGGGUCAGCAUCGGUCUCGGUCGCCGUACAAUGGCGAGAGGAACGUGGCACCCUUCUCGGGUGUGUUAUAGCCUUUCGUCGUAUGCGGCGGUCGGGACCGAGGAACUCAGCACGACUUCRGUCUGUGCUUAGGAUGCUGGCAUAAUGGCCUUAAGCGACCCGUCU